This 253-nucleotide ribosomal RNA is filed under the name uncultured bacterium. RNAcentral's name for it is "partial 16S ribosomal RNA". It matches the Rfam family "Bacterial small subunit ribosomal RNA", at positions 524 to 776 of the family's 1533-position model. The record is from RNAcentral.
UACGUAGGGAGCAAGCGUUGUCCGGAAUCAUUGGGCGUAAAGCGCGCGUAGGCGGCCCUGUAAGUCCGUUGUGAAAGUCAAAGGCUCAACCUUUGAAAGCCGAUGGAUACUGCAGGGCUAGAGUCCGGAAGAGGCGAGUGGAAUUCCCGGUGUAGCGGUGAAAUGCGCAGAUAUCGGGAGGAACACCAGUAGCGAAGGCGGCACUCUGGGCCGGUACUGACGCUGAGGAGCGAAAGCGUGGGGAGCGAACAGG